This 468-nucleotide ribosomal RNA is filed under the name uncultured bacterium. Its description in RNAcentral is "partial 16S ribosomal RNA". It matches the Rfam family "Bacterial small subunit ribosomal RNA", at positions 28 to 507 of the family's 1533-position model. The record is from RNAcentral.
GACGAACGCUGGCGGCGUGCUUAACACAUGCAAGUCGAACGGAAAGGCCAUGCUUUUGUGUCGUGCUCGAGUGGCGAAAGGAUGCGCCACCCGAGCGUCACCUGCUCGUGACUCUGGGCUGACUUCUGGAAACACGGGCUGAUACCGGAUCUGAUCUCCUACUACAUGGUGGGGGUGGGUGAAUUUCGGUGGUUGGGGUUGGACACGCGGGUUAUCAGCUAGUUGGUGGGGUAGUGGCUUACCAAGGCCUGGACGGAAAGCCGGCCUGAGGGGGUGACCGGCCACAGUGGGACUGAGAUACGGCCCAGACGGCAACGGUAGGCAGCAGGGGGGAAUAUUGCACAAUGGGCGGAAGCCGGAUGCAGCAACGCCGCGGGCGGGAUGACGGCCUUCUGGUUGUAAGCCGCUUUCGCCUGUGACGAAGCUUGAGUGACGGUAAUGGGUAAAGAAGCACCGGCUAACUACGUG